UACGAAAGGGAUUAGCGUCAUUCAUAUUGAAUGGGUGUAAAGGGUAUGUAGGCGGUAUCAUAAAUGUAAUACUAAAAAAAGAUAAAAAAUAAUCUUAUAAGUAAAAAUUAUUCAAAAUGAUAGCCUCCCAAAGGGGAGGCAAGUUUUUGACUUAACUAGAGUGAAAUAGAGGAAAGAGGAAUUUCAAAUGGAAGGAUGAAAUCUUUUGAUAUUUUGAAGGAACUCUAAAAGCGAAGGCUUCUUUCCAAAUUAAUCACUGACUGCUAAGAUACGAAAAGUGUGGGAUAGCAAAAGGGAU
This 298-nucleotide ribosomal RNA is filed under the name uncultured bacterium. Its description in RNAcentral is "partial 16S ribosomal RNA". It matches the Rfam family "Bacterial small subunit ribosomal RNA", at positions 524 to 778 of the family's 1533-position model. The record is from RNAcentral.